RNAcentral lists this long non-coding RNA (5503 nucleotides) under Penaeus chinensis. RNAcentral's name for it is "uncharacterized LOC125024543". The record is from RNAcentral. Lineage: Eukaryota; Metazoa; Arthropoda; Malacostraca; Decapoda; Penaeidae.
UGCUUUGGGCACUGAAAUAAUUAGACGAUGUCUGAGAUUGUGGCAAUAUUUCGUUUUAACCAGAAGAUUGUGACAUAGGUCUUAUCAGUUUCCUUGGGGAGUGUAAUAUAUUAAAAAAAAAUAAUUAUGCAAAAUAUUUAGGCGAUAAUUAUACAUUCUUUAAGUAUAACAUUUAUGCUUUGAUUGUUCAAAUAUUUAUUAUCAUUUUUCAUAUUUAUUUAUAAGACCUUAUUCACCAAACUAUAUUUCAGAUACCAGGACAUCAGUUCAUCACUUUGUUCCACCAUCAAACUGAUCAAAACAACUAUGUCAUGAUAAGACUCAAUGAAAGAUUGUGAGGAAGGGAAACUGGAUAUAACUAAGCAUGUGUGUCCUGAACUUUAAUGCAUAUAUUUGACUUUGCCCUUCAUUACUAAUUUCUGAACCAGUUUUAUCUCGAAAUGUUGUCUUUUUGUGACCAAUCUGAAUGAGAAAAAUUAAUUUUGUGGGAGGCGGGAGUAGGGGGCUGGGGAAGGAUGUUCAAUUUGUGACGAAAUAAUAAUAUUAUCAAACCUAAGUUUAAAACACGAAGUGUGAAAAUAAGUUAAGUGAGGUGUUGUUUUUUCCCUCGAAUAGUAAUUUCGGCAUCUGACAUCGUGGUGCUUAGCUGGUACCACGCAGUCUGCGCCGCUCGCUGCAACACGGCUUCACAUUAGGCAUUAACAUUCAGAAUAUACACCGUUGUUUCUUUUCCACUUUUCAUACAAUCACACACAUGCCCACAUGCAUCCGGGAACGAAAUAGAUAUUUCAUAAAAAUAUAACCUUCUCUCUCUCUCUCUCUCCCUCCCUUUCUUUCUCUCUCUCUCUCUCUCUCUCUCUCUCUCUCUCUCUCUCUCUCUCUCUCUUGACAGGGUAUAAAUAGAAAAGGAAAAUGUGUCAAAUGGCAGACCCUAAUCCACAAAAUGAACUCACUGUAAGCUAUUUCAAAGUUUCUAGUGUACAUUUUUUAAAUGUGAAUCUGUUACUCUCUUAUAUGAAUCUUAUCUUGCCAGAAUUGAUUUAAUUAGUUUGAUAACCGAGCCAAGUGACGAAUGCGAUAUCCCAAUACAGAAAUAUGCUGGAUACUGAUAACCUCAAAGGGAAUUCCACAUCCCCUGAUAAGAUUACUUAGAAAUAUCCUUAAUAAAAUGAGGAGCGUGUGUUGCCACGGUCCUGGGUAUCGUCUUCAUAUUCCAGAAGCUAACAAUAGCUCGGGGGAACACAGGCCUGUUUCAUUAACCACCUGCCUUUGUAAAACCUUCAAGGGAAUUGUUCCGAACAGGUUGAAGUAUAGAACUAAAACUCGUAGGAUAUAUAGAGGCUUUUUUAUCUAAAAGCUGAAUUCGAUGUAACGAAAAGGCAAAUAAUCUUACAUGAAUUAACGAAAUAGGUGUAGGUGGGGACGUCCUGAGGUCGAUAAAUGCAUAUUACAAAAAAUGGAGAGUCAGUUUUCGUCAUGAAGGCUAUUAAUGUAAGAAUCUAAAGAAAUGCUGUCCUUAGCCGCAGUUAUUGAACAUUUUAAUUAAUACUCUUAUUUAGAAGUUCGAAAUCGAAGUAAAUUGCACCACCAUGAGCUAUGUUGACGACAAACUGAUUUACGCCAAAAGACAUCAAAGGUGCACUUGAUUACAUUUCUUCACCAUUUAAUGAAUUAGGUUUAGUUAAUUAUAUCGGUAAAACCAGGGUAUGCAUCAAUGAUGUUAACGACAGGAAAAAUGGCAUUCUAUAUUGACGAAAACAGGAUAGCGCAAAUUUUAACGUACAAAUAUCGAGGCAUCAUUAUCAAUACGGGUUAUAUGAUGCAUUACAGAAACAGACAGAACUUCUUUGUCCAUGCCUGUUUUAUAUUGUUAUUUUUUUGUUUGUUUUCCCAUCACGGCGCUCCAACAAGUGAGACUAACCCCAUAGCUAUGGUUUUCCAUAGAUAGGCCUACGCCGUUUGAUCCCCCUCUUUUUUCCUAAUUAAUUUAUCUUGUAGGUUAAUUUAUCUCAUUCUUAAUUUUAUUGUGUCGAGGCGUUUUUCUCCCCCUGUUUCGUGCCUUUCACUUUUCACAGGCUUCACUCGCACGAUACAUGUCAUUCGAAAGAGCUCAUUGUGUACACUGACAAACGUUGCUUAAAUUUAGAAUAGAAUAUAUGAGUAACGUACUAGGAGGGCUCAAGGGUAUAGUGGUCUUAGGUAAGGGGUUAAGUUAAGUAUGCUGAUGGUAAUAAGUUAUAAAGAGAGACGCAGCUAGACAUUUGGGGGCCAAGGGGGUGGGACAAGGUCCCUGUGAAGGGUUCCCUAUAAUUUUGAAGAUUGAUGAAAAAACAUACUUAACAAAAUACUAAAACAAAAAAAUACUAAUUUGAAUAUUAAACAAAAAAUCCUUAUGCUUGUACGCAAACCCUUAAAUUUAAGCAGAAAUGAAAAAAAAAGUAAUAACGUAAUGACAAGGAUUUUUCAAUAAUUUAUUACGCCAUUCAGAAUUAAGCUGUCCAAUAUCUAGGUUGCAAUGAAGUUCUUAAGACAUUGUGCUUCUCGGAUAAGAAAUAGUCAUUUCUAACUUGGAUUUUUUUUUCACAUGUUGUUAAAAACAUUGUCAGUUUAAGUACUAUUCCAAUAGCAGAUGAUACAUUAAUGCAAAUAUCACUACCACUGGUCAUAUAAGACAGCAUUGAUAUAUUUCCAUGAGUCAGUGUGUAUAUCGAUUGUUAUCAAUAUGUUUCAAUGUAUCAAUUUAGGCCUGAUAAUGUAUUUUACUAUUGUAUUUCUUUCCAUAAUAUUACCAUAGCAUUAUCAUAUAAAGGUCACAUUUUACAUAUGUGAUCGAUGUGUAACAUUUAUAAUAUUUAUUUCCUUCCUCGCUUUGCCUAACCUCUUGUGGAAGAUUGAUUUCGAACAAGUGAUAACAAAAAAUGAAUUUAAAAAAAUGUGAAUUGUGUCGAAGGCCCUUUCGCUUUAAUGCUCCGUCAGGGACUUGAGAAGAGGAACACGUUUGAACAUACGAGUAUAUCUUAAAAUGUGUUCAUGCUGAACAAGUGAUAAAAAUAACGAAGGGAAUACCAAGUCAACACACGAUCAUGCCGAAGGCUGUUUCACUUUAAUGCUUCAUCAGGAUAUGUAGUUCUGAGAAAAUAAAGUCUUAACUUCGCUGAUUUAUUCAAAUCUAAUAAUAAACGUGAAAUCCAAGCUCAGCGACGAGUUCCGCGUCGUUAAAGACCAUCAAGCGUCUGUGAUGUAUUGCCGACUGUUGUUUUUUUUCUUCAGGAUAUUGUAUUUAUGCACUCUUUCUUCAGUCUAAGACUAGUUCCCUUGUUUUUUUUAUGAAUAUCUUGUCUAUCUUGUCGAGGUCUUCACAUUUAGCAGGAUGUGCACAUUUAGCAGGGUUACAUUUGAAUCGUCAGCUUGAGAAUGCAUUUUGGAAUUUCCACGCACGGUUGUGAUUUGCCUCCACUGGUGAAAUUGGCCAGGUAGACUGGCACUGAUUUUACACCACGGUCGCACUGAAUUGGGGUUGAUUGUGUUAAGUCAAGGUCCACGCAAUUAUAUCAGGAUGCAGGAAGCUGGUUGAGAUGGUUGAGAAAACCAAAUUCAGUCUCAUUAUAACAGCCUCCCAUUCCUCGGGGACAAGGAAUAUGAACAUAAAUUCUUUUGGGAAGAUAACCUUUUUCCUCAUUUUUGACGAAGAAGCAGUGGGAUCCUCGUAUCGACUAGUUUGUGCCCACAAACAACGUAAAGUAAAAGGGAGGCCGGGGGUAUUUCGAGUAGACGGGGGCGGAUGGGACUACAUUUACUUAUUCGUUCAGCGGAUCGUCAGAAUAUUAGCUCUCCUUUUCAAUUUGCAAAUUAUUUUUCUUUUUAUUAUUAUUAUUAUUUUAUUUAUUUAUUUAUUUAUUUAUUUACGGUAGCUGCUUCGUUCUCAUCUUGGGACUGAUUAGAUUCCGUCGUGGAUUUUUUAGUAUAAUUGCCCGUAUUUCGUGAAAGUGUGUUAACAGAUGUUCUUUAAUUUUAUGACACUUUAGUUGUCCUCUUAUCGCCUACAUUGACCUGGGAAACACGACUUUUGUGUAAAGGUUAUUAUCAAAUAAAAUAGAAUAUAUAAUCGAUUUCAUUUACCCUUCUAAGAAGUUGGCUGAGCUUAUUCGCUGUAGUGGUUAAUUGAUUUUUUGUUUUAGUUUACUUAACCAACUAGUUGUCAUAUUUUAAACAAACACUUAUUUAGAAUUACAAGAUAGAAAAAGGAUCUAUUGGAAAUACAGUUAACGAUAAAAAACACCAUGUAUGAUAUUUACAGGAGAAAAAUUAAACUUGUAAAAAUAGAUAAAUAAAUAGUAAAUAGCUUUGGAGAGACUGGACCUCAGCCCUUCGCCUCAACUAAUUUUGCAUAGUCUCUUCUCCCCCUUUCAUUUUCCUUCUCUUCUUCACCCCCUUCUUCUAUCCAUUUUCUAAAGUGUGGGAGCCGUUCUGAAAGGACGAAGGGCUUGCUUUGUCAGCCAUAAACGGCCUCCGGGAGUCAUGAGCAAGGUGUUCCCGUGGUUAAUCGCCUGGUCCUUACCCCUCAUAGAGACCCUGAGGGGUAGACCACUGAUACUAAUACCCCAUCUUUGAUGUUUGCUGUCAACUCUAUCCAUUUCGAAUCAUCCAUCCAGGUCAUUGCUCAACCUUCAGAAUACAUUCCUUCCUUUCCCAACAUCCUCCACUCUAUCUCCUACUGCAGUCUUCUUCAUCGUCUACAACACCUCCGUUAUUACUACUCUUUAUCCAUAUUGUUCUCCUCCCAACAGCACUACCUCUCUCCAUACUACCCCAUCUUCUUCCCGCCCUCACCCUUCUACUGUUUCUAUCUCUGCAAACCUUCUGAGUACCCAUUUUGGCCCAGCCAAGUGGGGUCGCUUCUUUGAUUCCCCCUACAACCCCAUACUCUGGCAAUACACUUCUUUUCCAACAAAGGCAAAGUUUCGCCUUGUCACAGUUACAUCUGAGUCCCAAGCUAGUGCACUAUCUACCCUGACUGAUCUGACUGGCAAAAACCUAUUCCUGCCCAUCCUCACUCCUCCCUUAAUACUUAUACCGGAAAUAUUUCCGUCUCCCUGACUGAUUGUCUUGUCUAUGACAAGGACUGGUCAGACUGAAAACGCCUUGCACGCAUGCCUCGUCGACUAUGAUGCAGUGACAGUCCAGUGCUACACUAUUCCUUCCAGAGGCCAAGCGCUGCUGUGGACCCUCCAUCGGUACCUGCAGCUACCUCCUGCACAAAGUUAGUAGCAGCCUGAGUCACUGGAGGUGUUGGGGGUCCAGCCUGAGAGAUAGAGGACAUCUUCACUCUUGCACUUUCUCUCUUCUGUCGGUGAAUUUCUUCUCAUGAAGUUCUCCACAUCCUGGUCAGAGAGACGACCAUGCUCCUGGACAAUAGACUUCAGUUUCUGGUACACACACUCAGCCAUGGUACAGUCACCACAUACAUAAAAGUGUCCCUUCUGCUCUACAACUUGACGAUACA